Loxodonta africana (African savanna elephant) is the source of this 5505-nucleotide non-coding RNA. The record is from the annotation of a RefSeq genome assembly. NCBI's taxonomy places the organism in Eukaryota, Metazoa, Chordata, Mammalia, Proboscidea, Elephantidae.
GUUACCUGAGGGCAGAGAAACCAUACAACAUCUCUAUGUUCUGAUCCAUGACCUUAGCUUGUAAUGGAGGCUUAUGGCUAUUGCAUGUCCUGAAUCAACUUUAAUUAGUAUAAGAAAUAAAAAAGAAGCAUCCGUAAACAUGCUGAUAGUGUGGCUUUGUGACAGUCCCUUUCUUUCACCAUUGUAAAAUAAGGCAUUUUGGAAUGUGUCAUCUCCACUGACAUGUCCAGCUCUCCCAGUCUAAAGUUCCAAACUUUCUAGGAGAUGUGAAGAAAAGGUAGAGGGCGGCUGGGGAAGAAAAAUUCUGAACUGAUCCUUAUCCAGAUUUAAGAAGGGAUUUCUCAUUCUCAAUGAAUGUGUUUUCAGCAAUUGUAAGUUUGAACCAAACGGUGAAGUGCUUCCUUCAACGAAAUACCUUUAAGUGAAAGCACUUGUGAAAGGGCGGGGCCUGUUAAAAGAAAGUGGGUGUGAAUUUAAAGUCAGAGUGCCAGCUGCAGAGGAGAACAGACCAUCUGGGUUGUCACAGAGCUCUGGUGCCAGGAAGGAUGGACAAGCUUCCAGGAGCAUCAUUUUUAAUUCUAUGGCUUAAGCUAGGCUGGGUGAGUGGCCAGCAGAAGGAGAAAAGUGACCAACAGCAGGUGAAGCAGAAUCCUCAAUCUCUGGUAGCCCAGGAAGGAGGGACUCCAAUUUUGAGUUGUGCUUAUGAUAACAGUGCAUUUGACUACUUCCCGUGGUACCGACAAUACCCUGGUAAAGGUCCUGUAUUAUUGAUGGACAUACGUUCAGUUGUGAGUAAAAAGGAAGAAGGAAGAUUCACAGUCUUCUUCAAUAAAACUGCCAGGCACUCCUCUUUGCACAUCAUGGGCUCCCAGCCUGGAGACUCAGCCACCUACUUUUGUGCAGCAAGAGCACUGUGCUCUGCAGGCAUGUGCAGCCUGUACCCAAACCUGCAGCUGGGGCUCCAGGCAAACCCUGUUGCUGGGGCUUAGGCUGGCAGACACAUAGACUAGUUUUCAGGUACACAUUGUUGUUGUUAGGUGACUUUGAGUCUUUUUGGUUUUUUUUUUGACUCAUAUGGACCCCAUAUGACAGAUUAAACUGCCCCAUGGGGUUUUCUUGGCUGUAAUCGUUAUGGAAGCAGAUCUCCAAGUUUUUGUCCAGAGUAGCCAUAGGGUGGGCUGGAACUUCUUCCAACCUUUCAGUUAGGAGCCCAGCGCUUAACUGUUUACAGCAGCAGAGCUCCUUUAAAACAGUUAAAACAGUGAAUGAAUUUUAUCUUAUGCAAAUGUUACCUCCAUUAAAAAAUCAGUCCUAGUGAAAAAAAAAAAACACACUCCAUACAGGAAAACAAUAAAAACUGUGGCUCAAAUUUAAAAAAGAAAGGGGAACAGAAGUCAAUGGAAUGACGUUUUUAUAGCUUAGAAGAACACAAACAAACAUCUAUAAAACUAAACUGUAUACAAGUAAAAAUACACCUUGUAAAUGAACAUGAAAUAAAGAUAACUUCAGAGGAUAUACACAGAUAAUUAGCUACCAGCAGACAUUGACUACAAGAUAUUUUGAAGAAAAAUUAUCUUGUAGAAAGAGAACAUUUCCAGAGGGAAACUCAGUUUUUACAAAGAAAUAAAGAACACUGGCAAUGGUAAAUAUGCCAGUAAAUAUAAAAAAUUUUCUCUUCCCUUGAUCUCUUUAAAUAAAAGAUGUCUCAAGGCGGGGAGGAGAAGGAAAAACACUAAAUAGACAGUAGAUAAGUGGUAACUUUGGUGAAGGGUAAGACAGUAUACGAUACUGUGGAAGCCAGUACGAUUAGACCAAGGCAAUGUCAUGGAAGCUACAUAGACAUACCCAAACUCCCUGAGGGACUGAAUUGCUGGGCUGAGUGCUGUGGGGACCCUGGACUCAGGGAACAUCUAGCUCAAUUGGCAUAAAAUAGUUUAUAAAGGAAAUGUUCUACAUCCCCUGUUGGUGACUAGCAUCUGGGGUCUUAAAAGCUUGAGAGUGGCCAUCUAAGAUGCUCUAUUGAUCUCACCCCAUCUGGAGUAAGGGCAAAUGAAGAAAACCACAGACACAAGGGAAAAAUUAGUUCAAAGGACUGAUGGACCGUAACUACCACAGCCUCCACCAGACUGAGUCCAGCACAACUAGAUGGUGCCCAGCUACCACCACCGACUGCCCUGGCAGAGAUCACAAUAGAGGGUCCCAGACAGAGCUGGAGAAAAAUGUAGAAGAAAAUUCUAACUCACAAAAAAUAAAAAUCCAGACUUACUGGUCUGACAGAGACUGGAGAAACCCUGAGCAUAUGGCCCCUAGACACCCAUUUAACUCAGUACUGAAGUCACUCCUGAGAUUCACCCUUCAGUCAAAGAUUAGACAGGCCCAUAGAACAAAAUAAGACUAAAUGAGCACACCAGUCCAGGGGCAAGGACAAGAAGGCAGGAGGAGACAGGAAAGCUGGUAAUGGGGAACUCAAGGUUGAGAAAGGGAGUGUGUUGACAUGUUUUGGGGUUGUUAACCCAUGUCGCACAACUACGUGUGUAUUAAUUGCUUAAUGAGAAACUUGCUUGCUCUGUAACCUUUCAUCUAAAGCACAAUAAAAAAAUAAAUAAAUAAAAGCUGUCUGUAUAAAGCAAAAACUAACAACAAUUCAUCAGGAGAUUUGUAGUAUAUGUAGAAAUAAAAUAUUUGAUAAAAAAAGACACAAAAGACAGUGGGAGAUUUUGGAAGUAUACUGUUUUAAGAUGUGAGGUGGCAUAGUAUUAUUUGAAAGUAGACUGGUGAAUUAAAAAUAAUAUUUGUAAACUCCAGUUUAACUAUGAAAAAUAAAACAAAGAGGUAUAGCUAAUAAGCCGAUACAGGAGAAAAAAUGGACUACUGGAAAAUACUGGACUGAUCUAAAAAAGUCAAGAAAAGAGGAAAAAUGAACAAAGAAUAGAUGGGCUAAAUAAGUAAAAGAAAACAAGGAGAUAGAUUUACCCUCACCACGUAAAUAAAUAAGCUAAAUGUAAAGAGAUAAAAGCUCCUAUUUAAACUCAGAGAUUGUUAGGCUAGGUAAAAAAAGAAAAUUUCAAUAUAUUCUAGUUACAAGAGAAUCACAUCAAAUAUAAAGCACAGAUAGGCUAAAAUUAAAAGAUGGGAUAAAAUAUAAUGUGCAAACCUUAAUCAUAAAAAAAGUAUGCAAUGACAAUGUAGGACACAUAGACUUCAAGUUAAAAAGUCUUACCAGACACAAAGAGGACAGCUUUAUUUGCAAUGACUAAAAAGUGGAAAUAACCCAAAUGCUCUUCAAUGGGUGAAUGAAUAAACAUACUGUGGUAUGUCCAUACAAUGAAUGCAAUGCAAUUCUGCAAUAAAGUGGAAUGGGCUAUUGAUACAUACAACAACUUGGAUCAAUUUCAAUGGUAAUAUUCUGAAUGGAAAGUCAACUCCAAAAGGUUAUGUAAUCUAUGGUCCCAUUUAUUAACAUCCUUAAAAUGACAACAUUAUAGGGUUGGAGGAGAGAUCAGCAGUUGGCCAGGGUUAGGGAUGGUGAGGGUGUGCCUAAGGGAGUAUCUUCAGGGUGAUGGAACAGUUCUGUAUGCUGAUUGUAGUGCGGUUAUGUGAACCAAAAAUGUGAUAAAAUUUCAUAGAAUUAUACAGCAACAGAAAAAAAAAUCAGUGCAUGUAAAAACUGUUGAAAUCAGAAUAACGUCUGUAGUUUAAUAAUGUUACGUCAAUUUCCUGGUUUUGAUCACUGUACUAUAGUUAUGUAAGAUGGUAUCAUUAGAGAUAAUUGAAUGAAGUGUACAAGGGAAUGCUGUACUAUUUUUGCAAGUUCUGUGUGAGUAGACUUAUUUCAAAAUGAAAGGUGAAUCUGUGAAGCAACCCGAUUCUUAAACAUCACAGGCCAUAAUGUAAAGCAGGCAACCACUUUAGUAGUGUCUCAUUAAGAAUUCCACUUCUUGGCAUUUACCCGAGAGAAAUGAAAACAUGUACCAUAAAGAAACUUGCACAAAAAUAUUUAUGUCAGUGUUAAUCAUAAUAGCAAUAAACAAGAGAAAAUGUUCACAAACAAGAGACUGAAUAAACCAGUGAAGCUAUAUACCUACAAUGGAACUCUAAUCAGUGAUAAAAUGGACUGAGCCAUUGAUACACAUAACACGAAUAAACCUCAAUAACAUUAUUCCUAGCCAAAUAUGUCAGACAAAAAGACUAUAACCAUUUAAUUCCAUAUAUAAAAGCCUAUCUUGGUGGUGUAGUGGUUAAGAGCUCGGCUGCUCACCAAAAGGUUAGCAGUUCAAUCCACCAGGUGCUCCUUGGAAACCCUGUGGGAAAGUUCUACUCUGUCCUGUUGGGUCGCUAUCAGAAUCGACUAGACAGCAAUGAGUUUGGUUUGGUUUUUUAAAGUAGGUAAACUAAUCAAUGCUGAAAGAAAGCAGGACUGUGGUUGCUUCUGUGGGUUAGGAAUUGUUUGGGAUGGGGCAGAAGGGAUGUUUCUGGAGUGAUUGAAAUGUCCUAUAUCUGGAUAAAGGUGUGGCUUAAACAGCUGUUUGCAAUUUUCAAAACUCCUCUAACUCAAUACUUAAAAAAAAAAAAAAGGAUCCAUUUAUUUCACUGUAUAAACUAUACUUAAAUGAAAAUAAAGAUAACUUAGAAAUUAAGCAAAACAAAAGUAAUAAAUGGGGAAAUCCAAUUCUGAAUACUUUUGAAGAACUAAAAAAUAGACAAAUCUUGGGUAAUAUUGACAAUGAAAAAAAAAGAAAUACUUAAUGUGGUAGGCUGAAUAACGCCCCCCCCCCGCCGGAGAUGUCCAUGUCCUGAAUCUGUGAGCUUUACCUGGCAAAAAGGAUUUUACAGAUGUGAUUAAGCGAAAUAUUUUGUGAUGUGGAGGUUAUCCUGGAUUAUCUAGGUGGUCUCAACAUAAUCUCCAAAAAACUAAAACUCAUUGCCAUGGAGUCAGUUUUGACUCAUAGCCACCAGAGUAGAACUACCCCAUAGGGUUUCCAAGGCUGUAAUCUUUACAGUUGAAUCUUUACAGAAACAGACUGCCACCAUCUUUCUCCCAUGGAGCCACCAGGUCUUCCAACAUAAUCACAAGGGUCUUUGUAAGAAGGUGGCAGUAGAGUCAGAGUGAGGGAAGUUUGUGUGACUAUGGAAGCAGAGGGAGGAAAGGUGAUAUGAUGUGGAACUGAUGGCAGUCAGGAAGCUGGAAAAGGCAAGAAAAUGAAUUCUCCCUGAGGGCCUCCAGAGGAACUCAGGCCUCCCAACACCUUGAUUUCAGCUCAGUGAAUCUGAAUUCGGGCUUUUGACCUACGGAACCUUAAGACAAUAAACUGGUAUUUUAAGUUUGUGGUAAUUUGUUUCAGCAACAAUAGGCAAAUAAUGCAAAUCAUAAUAAGAAAGAUUAGAAAGCAGACGUAUCUCUAGAUACAGCAGAAAUAAAAAGCUUAUUAUGAUAAAAUAAUGUGCAAUUUGAGCCAAUAAAUGAACAAGCUCACAGGAAAUAGAACAAUUUCAUAGAAAAAUAUG